Molecule: long non-coding RNA, 520 nt
Organism: Pseudoliparis swirei
Lineage: Eukaryota; Metazoa; Chordata; Actinopteri; Perciformes; Liparidae
Exons: 2
Source: RefSeq, a predicted model, not a curated record
GGAGUCCAAAGGGUGCAGCUUUUGUUUGGAUAAAGACAUUUUAAGAUGACGUCAGUAAAUGAAACCAACGCCGGUUUUGAUCUUAAAAUAAAACUCAUUUUAUUUGUACGUGAAGCAGGUUGAUGUGUCACCGUGUCGUCGACCUGGACCCGAGGGGUUUCCUGGCAACACAGUUCCUGGGAAUAUCAGCAGGGAUUUCUACAGCCGAACAAUGAAGACAGCCUGGAGGGUCCUGUGGAAACCAGAGAGUAGAAGAGCGGUCAAGCACACAGAGUACAACCUUCAUCCUGAAGCACCGCGGGGACGGACCCUCAUUUACUGACACGCAAAUCUCACUCUGACACAAUCACUUAACGGGAGAUAACCGUCUACGAUACAUCGUUUUAAUCCGUCGGAUUAUAGUUCAUGUAAAUCGAGCAUCAAGAAACACUUUGCUUGCCAACAGAAGUUUUAGUUGCACAAAUCAUUUCUCUGUAAACACCUGAAAAUAUAGAUUUUAGUUUGUAAAUUGACAAUUUCA